UACGAAGGGGGCGAGCGUUGUUCGGAUUUACUGGGCGUAAAGGGCGCGCAGGCGGCUCAUUUUGUCAGGCGUGAAAGCCCCGGGCUUAACCUGGGAGGUGCGUUUGAUACGGAUGGGCUAGAGUUCGGGAGAGGAGAGUGGAAUUCCCAGUGUAGAGGUGAAAUUCGUAGAUAUUGGGAAGAACACCGGUGGCGAAGGCGGCUCUCUGGACCGAGACUGACGCUGAGGCGCGAAAGCGUGGGGAGCAAACGGG
RNAcentral lists this ribosomal RNA (253 nucleotides) under uncultured bacterium. RNAcentral's name for it is "partial 16S ribosomal RNA". It matches the Rfam family "Bacterial small subunit ribosomal RNA", at positions 524 to 776 of the family's 1533-position model. The record is from RNAcentral.